GGGACACGUGGUAUCCUGUCUGAAUAUGGGGGGACCAUCCUCCAAGGCUAAAUACUCCUGACUGACCGAUAGUGAACCAGUACCGUGAGGGAAAGGCGAAAAGAACCCCGGCGAGGGGAGUGAAAAAGAACCUGAAACCGUGUACGUACAAGCAGUGGGAGCCUCUUAAUGGGGUGACUGCGUACCUUUUGUAUAAUGGGUCAGCGACUUAUAUUCUGUAGCAAGGUUAACCGAAUAGGGGAGCCGAAGGGAAACCGAGUCUUAACUGGGCGUUAAGUUGCAGGGUAUAGACCCGAAACCCGGUGAUCUAGCCAUGGGCAGGUUGAAGGUUGGGUAACACUAACUGGAGGACCGAACCGACUAAUGUUGAAAAAUUAGCGGAUGACUUGUGGCUGGGGGUGAAAGGCCAAUCAAACCGGGAGAUAGCUGGUUCUCCCCGAAAGCUAUUUAGGUAGCGCCUCGUGAAUUCAUCUCCGGGGGUAGAGCACUGUUUCGGCAAGGGGGUCAUCCCGACUUACCAACCCGAUGCAAACUGCGAAUACCGGAGAAUGUUAUCACGGGAGACACACGGCGGGUGCUAACGUCCGUCGUGAAGAGGGAAACAACCCAGACCGCCAGCUAAGGUCCCAAAGUCAUGGUUAAGUGGGAAACGAUGUGGGAAGGCCCAGACAGCCAGGAUGUUGGCUUAGAAGCAGCCAUCAUUUAAAGAAAGCGUAAUAGCUCACUGGUCGAGUCGGCCUGCGCGGAAGAUGUAACGGGGCUAAACCAUGCACCGAAGCUGCGGCAGCGACGCUUAUGCGUUGUUGGGUAGGGGAGCGUUCUGUAAGCCUGUGAAGGUGGCCUGUGAGGGUUGCUGGAGGUAUCAGAAGUGCGAAUGCUGACAUAAGUAACGAUAAAGCGGGUGAAAAGCCCGCUCGCCGGAAGACCAAGGGUUCCUGUCCAACGUUAAUCGGGGCAGGGUGAGUCGACCCCUAAGGCGAGGCCGAAAGGCGUAGUCGAUGGGAAACAGGUUAAUAUUCCUGUACUUGGUGUUACUGCGAAGGGGGGACGGAGAAGGCUAUGUUGGCCGGGCGACGGUUGUCCCGGUUUAAGCGUGUAGGCUGGUUUUCCAGGCAAAUCCGGAAAAUCAAGGCUGAGGCGUGAUGACGAGGCACUACGGUGCUGAAGCGACAAAUGCCCUGCUUCCAGGAAAAGCCUCUAAGCAUCAGGUAACAUUAAAUCGUACCCCAAACCGACACAGGUGGUCAGGUAGAGAAUACCAAGGCGCUUGAGAGAACUCGGGUGAAGGAACUAGGCAAAAUGGUGCCGUAACUUCGGGAGAAGGCACGCUGAUAUGUAGGUGAAGCGACUUGCUCGUGGAGCUGAAAUCAGUCGAAGAUACCAGCUGGCUGCAACUGUUUAUUAAAAACACAGCACUGUGCAAACACGAAAGUGGACGUAUACGGUGUGACGCCUGCCCGGUGCCGGAAGGUUAAUUGAUGGGGUUAGCGGUAACGCGAAGCUCUUGAUCGAAGCCCCGGUAAACGGCGGCCGUAACUAUAACGGUCCUAAGGUAGCGAAAUUCCUUGUCGGGUAAGUUCCGACCUGCACGAAUGGCGUAAUGAUGGCCAGGCUGUCUCCACCCGAGACUCAGUGAAAUUGAACUCGCUGUGAAGAUGCAGUGUACCCGCGGCAAGACGGAAAGACCCCGUGAACCUUUACUAUAGCUUGACACUGAACAUUGAGCCUUGAUGUGUAGGAUAGGUGGGAGGCUUUGAAGUGUGGACGCCAGUCUGCAUGGAGCCGACCUUGAAAUACCACCCUUUAAUGUUUGAUGUUCUAACGUGGGCCCCUUACCGGGGUUGCGGACAGUGUCUGGUGGGUAGUUUGACUGGGGCGGUCUCCUCCUAAAGAGUAACGGAGGAGCACGAAGGUUGGCUAAUCCUGGUCGGACAUCAGGAGGUUAGUGCAAUGGCAUAAGCCAGCUUGACUGCGAGCGUGACGGCGCGAGCAGGUGCGAAAGCAGGUCAUAGUGAUCCGGUGGUUCUGAAUGGAAGGGCCAUCGCUCAACGGAUAAAAGGUACUCCGGGGAUAACAGGCUGAUACCGCCCAAGAGUUCAUAUCGACGGCGGUGUUUGGCACCUCGAUGUCGGCUCAUCACAUCCUGGGGCUGAAGUAGGUCCCAAGGGUAUGGCUGUUCGCCAUUUAAAGUGGUACGCGAGCUGGGUUUAGAACGUCGUGAGACAGUUCGGUCCCUAUCUGCCGUGGGCGCUGGAGAACUGAGGGGGGCUGCUCCUAGUACGAGAGGACCGGAGUGGACGCAUCACUGGUGUUCGGGUUGUCAUGCCAAUGGCACUGCCCGGUAGCUAAAUGCGGAAGAGAUAAGUGCUGAAAGCAUCUAAGCACGAAACUUGCCCCGAGAUGAGUUCUCCCUGACUCCUUGAGAGUCCUGAAGGAACGUUGAAGACGACGACGUUGAUAGGCCGGGUGUGUAAGCGCAGCGAUGCGUUGAGCUAACCGGUACUAAUGAACCGUGAGG
This 2518-nucleotide ribosomal RNA is filed under the name Escherichia coli. Its description in RNAcentral is "partial 23S ribosomal RNA". It matches the Rfam family "Bacterial large subunit ribosomal RNA", at positions 419 to 2915 of the family's 2925-position model. The record is from RNAcentral. Lineage: Bacteria; Pseudomonadati; Pseudomonadota; Gammaproteobacteria; Enterobacterales; Enterobacteriaceae.